UGCCUACCCUGCAUAACUGGUUCAUCUCAAUAGCUUUAAAACAUUUAUAUUCUUUUAGCACUUGUUGAUAAAAUCAUGUCACAAAUACAACUAAUACCUGUGUAUACUAGAUUCCUUGAUAUUUGUGCCACAUACAUAUGCCAAAACUUCGUUACCAUGUACAUCUGAGGAUUACAUUCAUGGUUCCAUGAAGUCUUUAAGUUAUAAACACACUUUUAACAAUCCCUCUAAACACUUAAAAUCAAAUUCUUAAUUAUUCAUUAUGUUCUCUGUUCACCACUACCAUAAGCUACUGAAAGAAAGAAGUAUGUUCAGGAAAUAGGAAAUAUAAGCAUCACAAUCACAACACUUAGAUGUCGAUUACUCAUAAAAGCAAUGUAUCACGCAUCAGGUUUCAUAAAAGCGAAGUAUCUUACAUCAGGUUUCAUAAAAGUGAAGUAUCUUACGUCAGGUUUCAGGAUCCCCUUGCAUUUCUUGCAAGUGGGGAUGUGGAAAUCCUCCUCCCAAAAUUUCUCAUCUAUCUCAAUAUCACCAUCAGGCCUUUGUUUCAUGCCAAAGCUCUUAUCUGAUCCAGGGCUG
This 579-nucleotide long non-coding RNA is filed under the name Durio zibethinus. RNAcentral's name for it is "long non-coding RNA (DZIB_LNC000316)". Lineage: Eukaryota; Viridiplantae; Streptophyta; Magnoliopsida; Malvales; Malvaceae. The record is from RNAcentral.